Molecule: unclassified non-coding RNA, 379 nt
Filed under: uncultured Glomus
Lineage: Eukaryota; Fungi; Glomeromycota; Glomeromycetes; Glomerales; Glomeraceae
Description: SSU rRNA
Rfam family: Eukaryotic small subunit ribosomal RNA
Source: RNAcentral
AGCAGCCGCGGUAAUUCCAGCUCCAAUAGCGUAUAUUAAAGUUGUUGCAGUUAAAAGCUCGUAGUUGAAUUUCGGGGUUAGUAGAUUGGUCGUGCCACGGGUAUGUACUGGUCUUACUGAUUCCUCCUUCCUGAUGAACCGUAAUGCCAUUAAUUUGGUGUUGCGGGGAGACUGGACUGUUACUUUAGAAAAAUUAGAGUGUUUAAAGCAAGCCUACGCUUGAAUACAUUAGCAUGGAAUAAUGAAAUAGGACGUUCGAUCCUAUUUUGUUGGUUUCUAGGAUUGACGUAAUGAUUAAUAGGGAUAGUUGGGGGCAUUAGUAUUCAAUUGUCAGAGGUGAAAUUCUUGGUAUUUAUUGAAGACUAACUACUGCGAAAGC